This is a transfer RNA of Erysiphe necator (grape powdery mildew), 73 nucleotides long. It matches the Rfam family "tRNA". From Rfam's summary of the family: Transfer RNA (tRNA) molecules are approximately 80 nucleotides in length. Their secondary structure includes four short double-helical elements and three loops (D, anti-codon, and T loops). The record is from Rfam. Lineage: Eukaryota; Fungi; Ascomycota; Leotiomycetes; Helotiales; Erysiphaceae.
GGCUUCAUAGUCAAGAGGUUAAGACAUAAUGUUUUCACCAUUAUAUGCGAGGGUUCGAGUCCCUCUGGGGCUA